This 444-nucleotide ribosomal RNA is filed under the name uncultured bacterium. RNAcentral describes it as "bacterial SSU rRNA". It matches the Rfam family "Bacterial small subunit ribosomal RNA", at positions 355 to 796 of the family's 1533-position model. The record is from RNAcentral.
UAAGGAAUAUUGGUCAAUGGACGCAAGUCUGAACCAGCCAUGCCGCGUGGAGGAUGAAGGUCCUCUGGAUUGUAAACUUCUUUUAUUUGGGAAGAAAUGCAUUUUUUCUAAAGUGCUUGACGGUACCAGAUGAAUAAGCACCGGCUAACUCCGUGCCAGCAGCCGCGGUAAUACGGAGGGUGCAAGCGUUAUCCGGAUUUACUGGGUUUAAAGGGUGCGCAGGCGGAUAUGUAAGUCAGUGGUGAAAUCUCUGGGCUUAACCCGGAAAUUGCCAUUGAUACUAUAUAUCUUGAAUGCUGUGGAGGUAAGCGGAAUAUGUCAUGUAGCGGUGAAAUGCUUAGAGAUGACAUAGAACACCUAUUGCGAAGGCAGCUUACUACGCAGAGAUUGACGCUCAUGCACGAAAGCGUGGGGAUCAAACAGGAUUAGAUACCCCCGUAGUCC